This 1133-nucleotide long non-coding RNA is filed under the name Phasianus colchicus (ring-necked pheasant). RNAcentral's name for it is "lncRNA (ENSPCLG00000015608.1)". The record is from RNAcentral. Lineage: Eukaryota; Metazoa; Chordata; Aves; Galliformes; Phasianidae.
GCGCCCAAUGGGAAUCUCAAUGGGAAUCUGAUGGGAACCAAUAUGGCGUCCAAUGGGAACCAAAAUGGCACCCAAUGGGAACCCAAUGGGAACCAAUAAGGAAACCCCAAUGGGAUCCAAAAUGGCGCCCAGUGGGAACCCAAUGGGACAACAAUGGAUUCAAAAUGGCGCCCAAUGGGAAUCCCAAUGGGAAUCUUAAUGGGAACCAAUAUGGCGCCCAAUGGGAGCCAAUAUGACAACUCAAUAGGAACCAAUAAGGGAACCCGAUGGGAUCCAAAAUGGCGCCCAAUGGGAACCCAAUGGGAACCAAAAUGGGAACCAAUAUGGCGCCCAAAGGGAACCCCAAUGGGAAUCUAAUGGGAAACAAUAUGGCGCCCAAUAGAAACCUGAUGGGAACCAAUAUGGCACCCAGUGGGAACCAAUAUGGCGCUCAAUGGGAACCCAAUGGGAACCAAUAAGGGAACCCCAAUGGGAACCAAAAUGGCGCCCAGUGGGAACCCAAUGGGACAACAAUGGAUUCAAAAUGGCGCCCAAUGGGAAUCCCAAUGGGAAUCUUAAUGGGAACCAAUAUGGCGCCCAAUGGGAACCAAUGGAACCAAGAUGGCGUCGAAUGGGAACCAAUGGGAACCAAGAUGGCGCCCAAUGGGAACCAAGAUGGCACCCAAUGGGAACCAAUGGGAACCAAGAUGGCGCCCAUUGGGAACCAAGAUGGCGCCCAAUGGGAACCAAGAUGGCGUCCAAUGGGAACCAAUGGGAACCAAGAUGGCGCCCAAUGGGAACCAAGAUGGCGUCCAAUGGGAACCAAUGGGAACCAAGAUGGCGUCUAAUGGGAACCAAUGGCAACCAAGAUGGCGCCCAAUGGGAACCAAUGGGAACCAAGAUGGCGCCCAAUGGGAACCAAUGGGAACCAAGAUGGCGCCCAAUGGGAACCAAUGGGAAAGGAAACGUAAUGGGAUCUCAAUGGGAUUCCUAUGGGAUUCCUAUGGGAUUCCUAUGGGAUCUCAAUGGGAUUUCAGUGGGAUUCCUAUGAGGUUUCUGUGGGAUCUCAAUGGGAUCUCAUUGGGAUUUUUAUGGGAUUUCCUAUGGGAUUGCUAUGGGAUUUCUGUGGGAUUUCAGUGGGAUUUCAAUGGGAU